RNAcentral lists this ribosomal RNA (652 nucleotides) under uncultured archaeon. RNAcentral describes it as "bacterial SSU rRNA". It matches the Rfam family "Archaeal small subunit ribosomal RNA", at positions 164 to 814 of the family's 1478-position model. The record is from RNAcentral.
AGGGCACUGGAAGGUCCNUAAACCGAAAGGGGCUCUGCCCGCCCGAGGAUGGGCCGGCGGCCGAUUAGGUAGUUGGUGGGGUAACGGCCCACCAAGCCCAUAAUCGGUACGGGCAGUGAGAGCUGGAGCCCGGAGAUGGACACUGAGACACGGGUCCAGGCCCUACGGGGCGCAGCAGGCGCGAAACCUCCGCAAUGCUCGAAAGAGCGACGGGGGGACCCCAAGUGCCGUGGUACAACCACGGCUUUUCCGGAGUGUAAGAAGCUCCGGGAAUAAGGGCUGGGCAAGGCCGGUGGCAGCCGCCGCGGUAAUACCGGCGGCCCGAGUGGUGGCCACUAUUAUUGGGCCUAAAGCGUCCGUAGCCGGGCUUGUAAGUCCCUGGCGAAAUCCCACGGCUCAACCGUGGGGCUUGCUGGGGAUACUGCAAGCCUUGGGACCGGGAGAGGCCGGGGGUACUCCUGGGGUAGGGGUGAAAUCCUAUAAUCCCAGGAGGACCGCCAGUGGCGAAGGCGCCCGGCUGGAACGGGUCCGACGGUGAGGGACGAAGGCCAGGGGAGCAAACCGGAUUAGAUACCCGGGUAGUCCUGGCUGUAAAGGAUGCGGGCUAGGUGUUGCUUGGACCUCGAGUCCAAGCAGUGCCGCAGGGAAGCCG